AUCGUACAACCGAGGCGCGAGGGCUGUCGCUGACCUUCAAAGGUCGUGCACGCCCGAGCGCUCUCACACAAUCCAUCUCACACCCCUUUGUGCAUCACCGCGAGGGUCCCAGUGGCUGUAACGGCCCCAAGGUGGGAAUGCGAGGCGAUGUUUUCCCCAACGGAGUCUCGUGCUCGUGCGCCGAGUUCAAGACUGUCCCCUCCAGAAAACUUUGGUGUCCAUCGUCCCCCGCGGCGUAGGCCGUGGUCGGAUCUGGAGUAAUCGGCCCUUGUCUAGCCAGGGAAGCGAUUCCGCAGCUAGCAGGACCCACCGAGUUGGUCUUAGGAGAUCAGGGCACGUCAUCUGUCGCGCGGGUGCGCCGUGUCCCUCGUAGACCUUUAUACCUCGCGUUUUCACACAAACCUAUGAUACAGUGUAGAAUGUUACUUUACCUUUUGCGGUCACACGCAAUCAAUACAACUUUCAACAACGGAUCUCUUGGCUCUCGCAUCGAUGAAGAACGCAGCGAAAUGCGAUACGUAAUGUGAAUUGCAGAAUUCAGUGAAUCAUCGAAUCUUUGAACGCACCUUGCGCCCCUUGGCAUUCCGAGGGGCACACCCGUUUGAGUGUCGUGAAAUCAUCAAAACCUUUUCCUCUUUGUUGGGAAAAGGAUUUUGGACUUGGAGGUUCCAUGCUUGCUUUCUUUUUGAAAGCGAGCUCCUCUCAAAUGAAUCAGUGGGGUCCGCUUUGCCGAUCCUUGACGUGAUAAGAUGCUUCUACGUUUUGGAUUUGGCACUGUCCCUUGGACGCCUGCUCCUAACCGUCCCCAUGGACAAUGAUGGUGCUUCGGUCGACCGCCGUCUACGUUGGCGGAGGGAGGCUGGACCCACGAAAAGAAAACCUUGACCUCAAAUCGGGUGAGACUACCCGCUGAGACAUCUAUAA
This 924-nucleotide ribosomal RNA is filed under the name uncultured Russula. RNAcentral describes it as "eukaryotic LSU rRNA". The stretch from base 458 to 611 matches the Rfam family "5.8S ribosomal RNA". Lineage: Eukaryota; Fungi; Basidiomycota; Agaricomycetes; Russulales; Russulaceae. The record is from RNAcentral.